UUCUUAUCCACAGACAUCAGUGAAUUUUCUGGAGGGACAACUGUCUCCCUAUGUGGAAAAGCCAAUUUUGGAUUCACUUGCAAGUCCACUCCAGUAUUCUUAAGGUGAUCUCUCGAGAUCCCGCGAGAACUGGCUUUCUCUGGGAGGAGUGGUGGAGGCAGCAGCGCCGGUCCGGGAGUCCACGUUUCUCUGAGCCUCCCCCGAUGCUCGGCGCUGGGUGGAGAGCGAGCAGAGCCCGAGCUGUGCCGCAGGGGAGCAGGAGGAGGCGCUGGCAGCCAGGGUCCCUCGGCGAGGUCGAGACGCUUCGCAGGCCGGAGGAACGACUGGCCCCAGGGAUGUGUUAUACACGUCUCUUCAGGAGAAUCAGAUUGAGUCAUACAUUGGGUAAAGGACCAGAUUUCUAUUCUCCGUCUGGUCCGGCACACGGCUGGGUGCAGCGGCCCCCA
Molecule: long non-coding RNA, 446 nt
Organism: Molossus molossus (Pallas's mastiff bat)
Lineage: Eukaryota; Metazoa; Chordata; Mammalia; Chiroptera; Molossidae
Exons: 3
Source: RefSeq, a predicted model, not a curated record